GACGAACGCUGGCGGCGUGCUUAACACAUGCAAGUCGAGCGGUAAGGCCCUUUCGGGGGUACACGAGCGGCGAACGGGUGAGUGACACGUGGGUGACCUGCCCUCAGCUCUGGGAUAAGCCUGGGAAACCGGGUCUAAUACUGGAUAUGACUCCAUGACGCAUGUUGUGGGGCGGAAAGCCUUGUGCGGCUGAGGAUGGGCCCGCGGCCUAUCAGCUUGUUGGUGGGGUGAUGGCCUACCAAGGCGACGACGGGUAGCCGGCCUGAGAGGGCGACCGGCCACACUGGGACUGAGACACGGCCCAGACUCCUACGGGAGGCAGCAGUGGGGAAUCUUGCGCAAUGGGCGAAAAGCCUGACGCAGCG
This 365-nucleotide ribosomal RNA is filed under the name uncultured bacterium. RNAcentral describes it as "bacterial SSU rRNA". It matches the Rfam family "Bacterial small subunit ribosomal RNA", at positions 28 to 393 of the family's 1533-position model. The record is from RNAcentral.